GGGGAAUUUUGGACAAUGGGCGCAAGCCUGAUCCAGCAAUGCCGCGUGCAGGAAGAAGGCCUUCGGGUUGUAAACUGCUUUUGUACGGAACGAAACGGUCCUGGUUAAUACCUGGGGCUAAUGACGGUACCGUAAGAAUAAGCACCGGCUAACUACGUGCCAGCAGCCGCGGUAAUACGUAGGGUGCGAGCGUUAAUCGGAAUUACUGGGCGUAAAGCGUGCGCAGGCGGUUUUGUAAGACAGGCGUGAAAUCCCCGGGCUCAACCUGGGAACUGCAUCCAUAACUGCCUGACUAGAGUACGGUAGAGGGUGGUGGAAUUUCCUGUGUAGCGGUGAAAUGCGUAGAUAUAGGAAGGAACACCAGUGGCGAAGGCGACCACCUGGACUGAUACUGACACUGAGGUGCGAAAGCGUGGGGAGCAAACA
RNAcentral lists this ribosomal RNA (426 nucleotides) under uncultured Pseudomonadota bacterium. Its description in RNAcentral is "bacterial SSU rRNA". It matches the Rfam family "Bacterial small subunit ribosomal RNA", at positions 356 to 774 of the family's 1533-position model. The record is from RNAcentral. Lineage: Bacteria; Pseudomonadati; Pseudomonadota.